RNAcentral lists this transfer RNA (72 nucleotides) under Salmonella enterica. Its description in RNAcentral is "tRNA-Ile". It matches the Rfam family "tRNA". Rfam says of the family: Transfer RNA (tRNA) molecules are approximately 80 nucleotides in length. Their secondary structure includes four short double-helical elements and three loops (D, anti-codon, and T loops). Further hydrogen bonds mediate the characteristic L-shaped molecular structure. tRNAs have two regions of fundamental functional importance: the anti-codon, which is responsible for specific mRNA codon recognition, and the 3' end, to which the tRNAs corresponding amino acid is attached (by aminoacyl-tRNA synthetases). tRNAs cope with the degeneracy of the genetic code in two manners: having more than one tRNA (with a specific anti-codon) for a particular amino acid; and 'wobble' base-pairing, i.e. permitting non-standard base-pairing at the 3rd anti-codon position. Lineage: Bacteria; Pseudomonadati; Pseudomonadota; Gammaproteobacteria; Enterobacterales; Enterobacteriaceae. The record is from RNAcentral.
UUUUGCUCAGUUGGUUAGAGCGUGCGACUCAUAAUCGCCCGGUCGCUGGUUCGACUCCAGUACAGUGCGCCA